This 26-nucleotide non-coding RNA is filed under the name Homo sapiens (human). Lineage: Eukaryota; Metazoa; Chordata; Mammalia; Primates; Hominidae. The record is from RNAcentral.
UGUUUGGUGUCUGGUCAGUGCAAACC